This 72-nucleotide transfer RNA is filed under the name Camelus bactrianus (Bactrian camel). It matches the Rfam family "tRNA". Rfam says of the family: Transfer RNA (tRNA) molecules are approximately 80 nucleotides in length. Their secondary structure includes four short double-helical elements and three loops (D, anti-codon, and T loops). The record is from Rfam by way of RNAcentral. Lineage: Eukaryota; Metazoa; Chordata; Mammalia; Artiodactyla; Camelidae. RNAcentral also lists the same sequence under 1 other name.
AGGGUAAUAGCUCAGUGGUAGGGCGCAUGCUUAGCAUGCACGAGGUCCUGGGUUCAACCCCCAGUACCUCCA